Molecule: ribosomal RNA, 1310 nt
Filed under: metagenome
Description: bacterial LSU rRNA
Rfam family: Bacterial large subunit ribosomal RNA
Source: RNAcentral
UAUCGUGGACGAAGGCGAGAAAAGCUUUGUGAAUAUCCAAGGAGCCCGUACCGCAAACCGACACAGGUAGAUAGGAAGAAAAUUCUAAGGCCAACGGGAGAAGGGUAGUUAAGGAACUCGGCAAGUUGACCCCGUAACUUAGGGAUAAGGGGUGCUCUCGAAAGAGAGCCGCAGAGAAUAGGCCCAGGCGACUGUUUAGCAAAAACACAGCUCUAUGCUAAAUCGAAAGAUGAUGUAUAUGGGGUGACACCUGCCCGGUGCCGGAAGGUUAAGAGGAGGAGUGAGAGCUCUGAAUUGAAGCCCCGGUAAACGGCGGCCGUAACAAUAACGGUCCUAAGGUAGCGAAAUUCCUUGUCAGGUAAGUUCUGACCCGCACGAAUGGUGUAACGAUCUGGGCACUGUCUCAACUACCCGCCCGGCGAAAUUGUAGUACCGGUGAAGAUGCCGGUUACCCGCGACCAGACGGAAAGACCCCAUGGAGCUUUACUGUAGCUUAAUGUUGAAUUUCGGUAUUUCAUGUACAGGAUAGGUGGGAGACUAAGAAGCAGGGGCGUCAGCUUCUGUGGAGUCAACCUUGGGAUACCACUCUUGAAGUGCUGGAAUUCUAACCUGCGGCCGUGAAUCCGGUCGGGGGACAUCGUUAGGUGGGCAGUUUGACUGGGGCGGUCGCCUCCCAAAGAGUAACGGAGGCGCUCAAAGGUUCGCUCAGCAUGGACGGAAACCAUGCUCUUGAGUGUAAACGCAAAAGCGAGCCUAACUGCGAGACUGACGGGUCGAGCAGUAACGAAAGUUGGAGUUAGUGAUCCGGCGGUAUGUGAGUGGAAAUGCCGUCGCUCAACGGAUAAAAGCUACCCUGGGGAUAACAGGCUGAUCUCCCCCAAGAGUCCACAUCGACGGGGAGGUUUGGCACCUCGAUGUCGGCUCAUCGCAUCCUGGGGCUGUAUUCGGUCCCAAGGGUUUGGCUGUCCGCCAAUUAAAGCGGUACGCGAGCUGGGUUCAGAACGUCGUGAGACAGUUCGGUCCCUAUCUGUCGUGGGCGUAGGAUAUUUGAAAGGAGCUGUCCCUAGUACGAGAGGACCGGGAUGGACGCACCUCUGGUGCACCAGUUGUCACGCCAGUGGCACUGCUGGGCAGCUAAGUGCGGAUCGGAUAAACGCUGAAGGCAUCUAAGCGUGAAGCCGUCCUUAAGAUAAGAUAUCCCAUCAGGUCAACUGAGUAAGACCCCUCAAAGACUAUGAGGUUGAUAGGCCUAAGGUGUACGCAUGGUGACAUGUUCAGCCUGCAGGUACUAAUCGGUCGAGGGCUUGACC